Molecule: ribosomal RNA, 1244 nt
Filed under: metagenome
Description: bacterial LSU rRNA
Rfam family: Bacterial large subunit ribosomal RNA
Source: RNAcentral
UGAGUACGAGACGCUAAGGCGUCGAAGUAGUGUAUGUCAUACUUCCAAGAAAAGCUUGCACUGUCAUAGAUAAAAAACGCCUGUACCAUAACCGACACAGGUGGGUAGGUAGAGUAUACUAAGGGGCGCGAGAUAACUCUCUCUAAGGAACUCGGCAAAAUAACUCCGUAACUUCGGGAGAAGGAGUGCCUUAUUCGUAAGGUUGCAAUAACAAGAUCCAAGCAACUGUUUAUCAAAAACACAGGUCUCCGCUAAGUCGUAAGACGAUGUAUGGGGGCUGACGCCUGCCCAGUGCCAGAAGGUUAAAGAAGUUGGUUAGCAAUUGCGAAGCUGAUAACUGAAGCCCUGGUGAACGGCGGCCGUAACAAUAACGGUCCUAAGGUAGCGAAAUUCCUUGUCGGGUAAGUUCCGACCCGCACGAAAGGCGUAAUGAUUUGGAUACUGUCUCGGAGAGGGGCUCGGUGAAAUAGACUUGUCUGUGAAGAUGCGGACUACCUGCACCAGGACAGAAAGACCCUAUGAAGCUUUACUGUAACUUGAAAUUGAAAUUGGACUUUAUUCGCGCAGUAUAGGUGGGAGGCGUUGAUUAUAAUCUUGUGGGAUUAUUGGAGCCAUCAGUGAGAUACCACUCUUGUAAUGUUAGAUUUCUAACUUUGAAUCAUUAUCUGGUCAAAGAACAGUUUCAGGCGGGCAGUUUGACUGGGGCGGUCGCCUCCUAAACGGUAACGGAGGCGUACAAAGGUUUCCUCUGAACGGUUAGAAAUCGUAUCUAGAGUGUAAAGGCAUAAGGAAGCUUGACUGUGAGACCUACAAGUCGAGCAGGGACGAAAGUCGGUCUUAGUGAUCUGACGGUACUGAGUGGAAAGGCCGUCACUCAACGGAUAAAAGUUACUCUAGGAUAACAGGCUGAUCUCCCCCAAGAGUUCACAUCGACGGGGAGGUUUGGCACCUCGAUGUCGGCUCAUCGCAUCCUGGGGCGGUAGUACGUCCCAAGGGUUGGGCUGUUCGCCCAUGAAAGCGGUACGCGAGCUGGGCUCAGAACGUCGUGAGACAGUUCGGUCCAUAUCCGGUGUAGGCGUUAGAAUAUUGAGAGGAGCCUUCUUUAGUACGAGAGGACCGAGAAGGACAUACCUCUGGUGUACCAGUUAUCGUGCCAACGGUAAACGCUGGGUAGCUAUGUAUGGAGUGGAUAACCGCUGAAAGCAUCUAAGUGGGAAGCCCACCUCAAGAUAAGUAUUCUCAUC